UACAGAGGGUGCGAGCGUUGUCCGGAAUCACUGGGCGUAAAGGGCGCGUAGGUGGCGACCCAAGUCGAUGGUGAAAGCUCGCCGCUCAACGGCGAGUCGGCCACCGAUACUGGGUUGCUGGAGCACUGUAGAGGCAGAUGGAAUUCCGGGUGUAGCGGUGGAAUGCGUAGAGAUCCGGGAAGAACACCGGUGGCGAAGGCGGCUCACUGGCCCGGUACUGACGCUGAGGUGCGAAAGCGUGGGGGAGCAAACAGG
RNAcentral lists this ribosomal RNA (255 nucleotides) under uncultured bacterium. Its description in RNAcentral is "partial 16S ribosomal RNA". It matches the Rfam family "Bacterial small subunit ribosomal RNA", at positions 524 to 776 of the family's 1533-position model. The record is from RNAcentral.